This is a long non-coding RNA of Trifolium pratense (red clover), 421 nucleotides long. RefSeq lists it as uncharacterized. The transcript is spliced from 3 exons. The record is from RefSeq and is a predicted model, not a curated record. NCBI's taxonomy places the organism in Eukaryota, Viridiplantae, Streptophyta, Magnoliopsida, Fabales, Fabaceae.
AUUUUUUUCUGUAUUUGCUUGAAGCUUAGUUGAAGAUCUGCAAUUUUUCACGAAAUUUAUAACAGAAGGGAUGAAGAAGGUUCAUUAGCUUUUGGAAAGAAAUAUUUGAUCAUAUAUUAGAAUCUUUCUUUAAAGGUAAUAUACAGGUGUGUCUUGAUCACCUACGUACGAAAUUUGAAAGGAAAGAGGAAGGCAAAAACCAUGCUUUCAGAAAAGUGGCGGUCCGAAUCUUAUUUAACCUUUUGAAUAAAUUUCUUGAUUUUAGGUGUAAUGAACAAAUUGACAACCUAUCAAUUUGACAUGUGAAUUCGUUGACAUCACACUUAUAGAGGAAGCAUGUAUGAUUAUUUGAAGUAAUGGAUUAACGAAAAUGUGCAAAAGUUUUGUUUACCUCUGGCAUUCUAUAAGUCUUGAAUGAACU